Molecule: ribosomal RNA, 254 nt
Filed under: uncultured bacterium
Lineage: Bacteria
Description: partial 16S ribosomal RNA
Rfam family: Bacterial small subunit ribosomal RNA
Source: RNAcentral
UACGGGGGGGAGCAAGCGUUGUUCGGAUUUACUGGGCGUAAAGGGCGCGUAGGCGGCGUGACAAGUCACUUGUGAAAUCUCCGGGCUUAACUCGGAACGGUCAAGUGAUACUGUCGUGCUAGAGUACAGAAGGGGCAACUGGAAUUCUCGGUGUAGCGGUGAAAUGCGUAGAUAUCAGGAGGAACACCGGUGGCGAAGGCGGGUCUCUGGGCAACAACUGACGCUGAGGAGCGAAAGCGUGGGGAGCGAACAGG